This 305-nucleotide signal recognition particle RNA is filed under the name Triticum aestivum (bread wheat). RNAcentral describes it as "SRP RNA Plant_SRP". It matches the Rfam family "Plant signal recognition particle RNA". The record is from Rfam by way of RNAcentral. Lineage: Eukaryota; Viridiplantae; Streptophyta; Magnoliopsida; Poales; Poaceae.
GCUGAGCUCAGUUGCGAGAGUUUGUAACCCGAGUGGGGGCAUUAAAGUGAUGUGAACGCUGUUAUAGCGUUGCGGGCCUGGUCUGGGUGUGCUACUGUUGGCCCGCCCGUUCCAAGUUGAGUAGUGGACCGUCUGAGGCCUAUGCGAAAGCUGGGCCUCACGGCCACAUAAUGUGGCAGGCACAGCGUGAGGCUGGCUUCACAGAGCAGCGACAACUGCCCACUUCCAACGGUGGAAGGAUAACGGGCCGCUGCACUCCUAGGCCACUUGGGCCUUGCAGCCUACUCCAACGAACCAUCAUUUUU